RNAcentral lists this ribosomal RNA (163 nucleotides) under uncultured bacterium. RNAcentral's name for it is "partial 16S rRNA". It matches the Rfam family "Bacterial small subunit ribosomal RNA", at positions 355 to 511 of the family's 1533-position model. The record is from RNAcentral.
UAGGGAAUCUUCCACAAUGGGCGAAAGCCUGAUGGAGCAACGCCGCGUGUGUGAUGAAGAGUUUCGGCUCGUAAACACUGUUGUAAGAGAAGAAUGACAUUGAGGGUAACUGUUCAAUGUGUGACGGUAUCUUACCAGAAAGGAACGGCUAAAUACGUGCAAG